RNAcentral lists this non-coding RNA (45 nucleotides) under Schistosoma curassoni. The record is from RNAcentral. Lineage: Eukaryota; Metazoa; Platyhelminthes; Trematoda; Strigeidida; Schistosomatidae.
AUCCAGCUGAUGAGUCGCGAAUAGGACGAAACGCGCGUCCUGGAU